Molecule: transfer RNA, 64 nt
Filed under: Chloroflexota bacterium
Lineage: Bacteria; Bacillati; Chloroflexota
Description: Chloroflexi bacterium tRNA-Gly
Source: RNAcentral
ACGCGAUUUUCAAAUCAGCUUCCCAAGCUGAGGGUCGCCGGUUCGAUCCCGGUCUCGCGCUCCA